AGAAUGGGCCAGAGCAUUAGAACAAAUUGCUAGGGUUAGUUUGAGGUCAAGCAGAGCAAUUCAGUUAGAAGUAGAGAG
This is a non-coding RNA of Arvicanthis niloticus (Nile rat), 78 nucleotides long. NCBI's taxonomy places the organism in Eukaryota, Metazoa, Chordata, Mammalia, Rodentia, Muridae. The record is from RefSeq and is a predicted model, not a curated record.